This 750-nucleotide ribosomal RNA is filed under the name uncultured bacterium. Its description in RNAcentral is "bacterial SSU rRNA". It matches the Rfam family "Bacterial small subunit ribosomal RNA", at positions 48 to 777 of the family's 1533-position model. The record is from RNAcentral.
ACCAUACAAUGCAGUCGAGGGGCAUCGGGGAGCGAAGCUUGCUUUGCUCCGCCGGCGACCGGCGCACGGGUGACUAUCAAGUAUGCAACCUGCCCGUUUCAGCGGGAUAACCCGGACCCUUCCGGCCUAAUACCGCAUGUGGCCGAGGGGAGGCAUCUUCUUUCGGCCAAAGGAGGCGACUCCGGAGACGGAUGGGCAUGCGUGACAUUAGCUUGUUGGCGGGGUAACGGCCCACCAAGGCGACGAUGUCUAGGGGUUCUGAGAGGGCGGACGGCCACAUUGGGACUGAGACACGGCCCAGACUCCUGCGGAAGGCAGCAGUAGGGAAUUUUCGUCAAUGGGCGCAAGCCUGAACGAGCGAUGCCGCGUGAGUGAAGAAGGCCUUCGGGUCGUAAAGCUCUGUUGCGGGGGAAAAAGGCAGCAUCAGGAAAUGGGUGCUGACUGAUGGUGCCCCGCCAGAAAGUCACGGCUAACUACGUGCCAGCAGCCGCGGUAAUACGUAGGUGGCGAGCGUUAUCCGGAAUGAUUGGGCGUAAAGGGUGCGCAGGCGGUCCUGCAAGUCUGGAGUGAAACGCAUGAGCUCAACUCAUGCAUGGCUUUGGAGACUGGAGGACUGGAGAGCAGGAGAGGGCGGUGGAACUCCAUGUGUAGCGGUAAAAUGCGUAGAUAUAUGGAAGAACACCAGUGGCGAAGGCGGCCGCCUGGCCUGUUGCUGACGCUGAGGCACGAAAGCGUGGGGAGCAAAUAGGA